GACGAACGCUGGCGGCGUGCUUAACACAUGCAAGUCGAGCGGUAAGGCCCUUUCGGGGGUACACGAGCGGCGAACGGGUGAGUAACACGUGGGUGACCUGCCCUUAGCUCUGGGAUAAGCCUGGGAAACUGGGUCUAAUACCGGAUAUGACUCCAUGACGCAUGUUGUGGGGUGGAAAGCCUUGUGCGGCUAGGGAUGGGCCCGCGGCCUAUCAGCUUGUUGGUGGGGUGAUGGCCUACCAAGGCGACGACGGGUAGCCGGCCUGAGAGGGCGACCGGCCACACUGGGACUGAGACACGGCCCAGACUCCUACCGGGAGGCAGCAGUGGGGAAUCUUGCGCAAUGGGCGAAAGCCUGACGCAGCGACGCCGCGUGAGGGAUGACGGCCUGGUGU
RNAcentral lists this ribosomal RNA (394 nucleotides) under uncultured bacterium. RNAcentral describes it as "bacterial SSU rRNA". It matches the Rfam family "Bacterial small subunit ribosomal RNA", at positions 28 to 422 of the family's 1533-position model. The record is from RNAcentral.